AGAUGCUUUCGCUUCUGCAGGGUGCCGCUUCUGGAAUGCCGUAGAUAGUCACUGGCAACGAGACCGGGUAGAGGUAGCGGUGGCGCGAUUUCCAGCUGUAUACGGGUUGCUUGGAAACUUCCGGGGGAGUCUGGAACGGUUUAGAGAUCCUCAAGCCCGAAACCUAUGGACGUGGUGCUCGGCGGCGAUCGGUGUCUGCGCUGCUGCCUGACGCUGCAGAGACCGCAAGGGAGCUCGCGUAUCCGGUCUUCUUCCGUUCUCCAGUGCGACCGGGUUUGAAAAGCGUGACACGUGAACUCUCGGGGUUACACUAUUGCCCUCGAACGUAAAGUUUUCUCAGGAGAGUGGCCUCGGAACCCCAUGAGGCUGGAUUGUGGCAUGAUAAUCUCGUCAUUUAUAUCGAGUAAUAGUACAGUAUUCUCGUUCACCCUUUCCCCAGGAAAACCUUUCCAGUUGUAUCUGAACCCCGCCCGAGUCUCGUUGCAUGGCCCAGCCCAUACCAUUGCAGUAUCGUGCUGCGGGACGUCAUGCAACUCUGUGGCUCCAGGCCACUGAUUUCUUCAUCGCAAGCCUUUUGCGUUGCAGCACACUGCCCAUACGGUGUACGGAACGAUUCCCGGGGAAGUUCGCUCCACACAGCGCCGCUAGACGCUGCCCAUGCGCGAGGACUAUAUCGUAAGAUCGAUUCUCUUUGCUGUCGAUGUCAGGCGCACACAUACACACACCAGACCGACUUGCCCACAGCGCCGCACAGUGUCGCGUCCAUAAGCGCGCCGCCGCUGCUACUCGAAUACUGGACCAGCACCAGCAGCAAAUCAAAUGCCUUUACGUUGACUAGGUGAACACAUAGGGUCGAUCCAUUUGCACACGCGCAAUAUCCUUUGCCAGAGAUUCGUGCCUAUGAUACAGGAAGGUUGACGGCUUUGGCCCGAGGAGGUCGCCUGUGGAACAUCGGCCUGGUUCCCGCUUUCUGCUUAUCGACGACGUUAGCACGACCGCCUUGCAGGAUGCUCUCGAAUGCGGCACCGUCCCCGUAGAUCCGCAUGGUACGAGACGCACUCGGCGAUAUUGAAAUGAGUCUGCAUGGGGUUGCCCGCGCACACGCAGUGGCAGCACGUCUGAUGCCGUGUAGCCAAUUGCUGCCGCUGUAGACGAAGGCGCUGGAGCAGCGCCAAACAGACCCGCAACCCCUUGGCGGCCGAGAGCGGACGGCAUGAUCAGCUGUGUUGGGGUUGCUCGGCGCGGUUCGGCAUCAUCCCCCGAGGCAAGCCUCCGACGUGAUUCCCUGUGCAGUGGCGGUCAUUACAUCAUUCGACGCCGACGGGCGGGCGUAUGGCAACUCGAAGCAGAAGGCAACGAGGCUCCCACCCGUGUCGCUGUGACGUUUGUUAAAUGGUGUGCGCAUAGGCAUCUCUACGAAGGUGGCGCUGCCGCAGACUUGAGAUUUGGAUCCUUCUUGAUAAGCUCUUCUGCCUCGCGUUGCUCCCGUGCCAUCGCCUCGGUGAACUGCCGAUCCAAGCUACGAGCCGCAGCCAGCCACAUGAUGAUGAUGGAUGCGAGAAAGACCGCGAGGAAUGGCGUGCUGGCGGCCAAGGAUCCAGUAGCGAAAAUAAGGGCUUGCUGGAUGAAUGAGCCUCCCGACUUGCCCAGCGGGUUCCCGAUCACAUCGAUGGCAGCUUUGCCCUUGCUCUUCGACUCUGCAUCCAGUGGGAUAUACGCCAUCUCCUUGCAAGGAUCAAACAGGGAAUACUUGCUGCCCUUUGAAGCGAUGUUCUGCGCCGCACCGAUGAGUACCGCCAGGAAGAGAGGCGUCGUGCCGAGCGCGGCAACGACUGGGCUCAGCUGCUUUGCGAAUAGGGUUAGCGCAAAGAACAUCAUGCCCGUGAUGCCUAGCGUAAUCGGAGUGAUCAUUGCAGCCACGCCCCAUCCGAAGCGGCGGAAGAUGAUACGGCUUGCCAACAUCAUGAUAAUGGUGAACGAGCCCGUGCAAGUCGAGAACCAGCCCAUGAAGGUCGAAUAUGCGUUCGGGUCUGGAUACUGCUCACGGAGCUUGCUCUUCCACGAGACCUCCACAAUAUUGAUGGACAUGCCGUACGCGAUCACCAGAAGGGCCAAGUUGCGAAUAUACGGCGACGCGGCCAGAAACUUGGCUGACUCGACAAGACCCAGCUUGGUUUUCGUCUUGGCUUUCUUCUGACGCGCCGGAUCGACCAAUGUCGGAUCCGUCAUUACUUUGCGCUGCAUGUAGUAGAAAACUCCCACGAUGAUUGAUCCGCAUACCGCCACUGCCCCCAUUAAAUAGCGCAAGCUCACGAGCCAUCCGUCAACACCGGGCGGCAGAUGUUGACGUAUAUCCGAUACGAAACGAACGUACUGACCCGAAAAGAUCAGCGCAACGUUAGCCAUCAGACCAAACACAGGGUACCACUUCUUCGCCUCGUCUACGGUGGUCACCUCAUUCGCAAAUCCCCAGAACAAGAGCGAAACCACCACGGAACCCCAAAGCUCCGCGAGCGUAUAGAACACUGCGGAUGUCCAGUGCCCGAUAAUCGCCAGCGGAGGCGCGAAUGUCGGUGGCAAAUACUGCAGCGCCCAGCUCACAAACCCGCUAGGGUGCAAAAACGCCCUAUUGGGAUAAAGAAACCACGCAUAGCUCAAGAAGAAAAGGAGGAAAGGCGCUAUGCAGAUGUAGAAAACAGUCUCCCGAGAGAACACAUUCGUGAGCUUCGAGUACAAAAUCGUAAACAGCACUGCACCGGGCAAG
Molecule: RNA transcript, 2764 nt
Organism: Cyanidioschyzon merolae strain 10D
Lineage: Eukaryota; Rhodophyta; Bangiophyceae; Cyanidiales; Cyanidiaceae
Exons: 1
Source: RefSeq, a predicted model, not a curated record